RNAcentral lists this ribosomal RNA (250 nucleotides) under uncultured archaeon. RNAcentral's name for it is "partial 16S ribosomal RNA". The record is from RNAcentral.
CAAGGCCGGUCAUCCAGUCGUUGCAAUGAAUCAGAUCCGGUUUCACAUGGCGGAUGAUGCGGUUGAUAACCUCCCGCUGGAACGCCAGGGCGAUGCGUGGAUUCUCCCCGCGAUAGCUGGAGUAAACUUCGUCCCGGUAGUAGAACAAUCUGUCCUCUGCCAAGUGGAUGCGUUCCUCUGGCAGCUUCUGACGCAUCUUUGUCAGCUCUCGGCUGAGCAAAUUAUAGACAUCCGUAUGGAACAUCUGCCG